GACGAACGCUGGCGGCGUGCUUAACACAUGCAAGUCGAGCGGUAAGGCCCUUUCGGGGGUACGACGAGCGGCGAACGGGUAGAGUAACACGUGGGUGGACCUCGCCCUCCAGCGUCCUGGGAGUAAAGACCGUCGGGAAACCGGGGUACCGUAAUAACUGGAUAUGACUCCAUGACGCAUGUUGUGGGGUGGAAAGACCUUGUGCGGC
Molecule: ribosomal RNA, 208 nt
Filed under: uncultured bacterium
Lineage: Bacteria
Description: partial 16S ribosomal RNA
Rfam family: Bacterial small subunit ribosomal RNA
Source: RNAcentral